This 397-nucleotide ribosomal RNA is filed under the name uncultured bacterium. RNAcentral describes it as "partial 16S ribosomal RNA". It matches the Rfam family "Bacterial small subunit ribosomal RNA", at positions 360 to 774 of the family's 1533-position model. The record is from RNAcentral.
AAUAUUGGACAAUGGGCACAAGCCUGAUCCAGCCAUACCGCGAGAGUGAUGAAGGCCUAAGGGUAGAAAAGCUCUUUCAGUGGGGAAGAUAAUGACGGUACCCACAGAAGAAGCCCCGGUUAACUUCGUGCCAGCAGCCGCGGUAAUACGAAGGGGGCUAGCGUUGUUCGGAUUUACUGGGCGUAAAGCGCACGUAGGCGGAUUGGUCAGUUAGGGGUGAAAUACCGGAGCUCAACUCCGGAACUGCCUUUAAUACUGCCAGUCUAGAGACCGAGAGAGGUGAGUGGAACUCCUAGUGUAGAGGUGGAAUUCGUAGAUAUUAGGAAGAACACCAGUGGCGAAGGCGGCUCACUGGCUCGGUACUGACGCUGAGGUGCGAAAGCGUGGGGAGCAAACA